RNAcentral lists this ribosomal RNA (460 nucleotides) under uncultured bacterium. RNAcentral's name for it is "partial 16S ribosomal RNA". It matches the Rfam family "Bacterial small subunit ribosomal RNA", at positions 338 to 795 of the family's 1533-position model. The record is from RNAcentral.
CCUACGGGGGGCAGCAGUGAGGAAUAUUGGUCAAUGGACGAGAGUCUGAACCAGCCAAGUAGCGUGAAGGAUGACUGCCCUAUGGGUUGUAAACUUCUUUUAUAUGGGAAUAAAACGUUCCACGUGUGGGAUUUUGUAUGUACCAUAUGAAUAAGGAUCGGCUAACUCCGUGCCAGCAGCCGCGGUAAUACGGAGGAUCCGAGCGUUAUCCGGAUUUAUUGGGUUUAAAGGGAGCGUAGGUGGAUUGUUAAGUCUGUUGUGAAAGUUUGCGGCUCAACCGUAAAAUUGCAGUUGAAACUGGCAGUCUUGAGUACAGUAGAGGUGGGCGGAAUUCGUGGUGUAGCGGUGAAAUGCUUAGAUAUCACGAAGAACUCCGAUUGCGAAGGCAGUUCACUGGACUGCAACUGACACUGAGGCUCGAAAGUGUGGGUAUCAAACAGGAUUAGAUACCCUGGUAGUC